Molecule: microRNA precursor, 204 nt
Filed under: Oryza brachyantha (malo sina)
Lineage: Eukaryota; Viridiplantae; Streptophyta; Magnoliopsida; Poales; Poaceae
Description: MIR812 microRNA precursor family
Rfam family: MIR812 microRNA precursor family
Source: Rfam by way of RNAcentral
UCAAGAUGACGCCAUUGACUUUAACGUUUCGGUUUGACCAUUCGUCUUAUUCAAAAUAAUAUGUAAUUAUUAAUUAUUUUAUUAUAAUUUGAUUUAUUAUUAUAGAAACUUUAAGUAUGACUUAUAAUUUUAUAUAUUUGGAUAAAAUCUUUGAAUAAGACAAACGGUCAAAUAUAGAUUCGAAAGUCAAUAGCCACAUAUAGA